RNAcentral lists this ribosomal RNA (465 nucleotides) under Vreelandella stevensii. RNAcentral's name for it is "partial 16S ribosomal RNA". It matches the Rfam family "Bacterial small subunit ribosomal RNA", at positions 338 to 795 of the family's 1533-position model. Lineage: Bacteria; Pseudomonadati; Pseudomonadota; Gammaproteobacteria; Oceanospirillales; Halomonadaceae. The record is from RNAcentral.
CCUACGGGAGGCAGCAGUGGGGAAUAUUGGACAAUGGGGGGAACCCUGAUCCAGCCAUGCCGCGUGUGUGAAGAAGGCCCUCGGGUUGUAAAGCACUUUCAGUGAGGAAGAACGCCUGGUGGUUAAUACCCAUCAGGAAAGACAUCACUCACAGAAGAAGCACCGGCUAACUCCGUGCCAGCAGCCGCGGUAAUACGGAGGGUGCGAGCGUUAAUCGGAAUUACUGGGCGUAAAGCGCGCGUAGGUGGCUUGAUAAGCCGGUUGUGAAAGCCCCGGGCUCAACCUGGGAACGGCAUCCGGAACUGUCAAGCUAGAGUGCAGGAGAGGAAGGUAGAAUUUCCGGUGUAGCGGUGAAAUGCGUAGAGAUCGGGAGGAAUACCAGUGGCGAAGGCGGCCUUCUGGACUGACACUGACACUGAGGUGCGAAAGCGUGGGUAGCAAACAGGAUUAGAUACCCGAGUAGUC